AUGUGGAAGCUAAAUCCGGAAGGAUUGAGACGGGCAGGAUUGAGACGGGCUGUGAACCCCGACCGGGCCAGGCACACCGCCCCAGCCCCUCCCUCGUCGUCGGGCCGGGAGGACAGCGCGCGCGAGCCAGCAAGGGGGAGGGAGAGUGAACGAGCGAGCGCCGGGAGGAGGCGGCCGGCCCUAACGAGCGCCCGCGCCACCUUGUCGGCGCCAGCGGCCAAAGUCAGUAAAAAGGAGCUCAACUCCAACCACGACGGGGCCUACCAAACCUCAGAAAAAGAACAGCAGGAAGCAAUCGAACAUAUUGAUGAAAUACAAAAUGAAAUAGACAGACUUAAUGAACAAGCCGGUGAGGAGAUUUUGAAAGUAGAACAGAAAUAUAACAAACUCCGCCAACCAUUUUUUCAGAAGAGGUCAGAAUUGAUCGCUAAAAUCCCAAAUUUUGGGGUAGCAACAUUUGUCAACCAUCUACAAGUGUCCGUGCUGCUUGGGGAGGAGGAUGAAGAGGCACUGCAUUAUUUGACCAGAGUUGAAGUGACGGAAUUUGAAGAUAUUAAAUCAGGUUACAGAAUAGAUUUUUAUUUUGAUGAAAACCCUUAGUUUGAAAAUAAAGUUCUCUCCAAAGAAUUUCAUCUGAAUGAGAGUGGUGAUCCAUCUUCAAAGUCCACUGAAAUCAAAUGGAAAUCUGGAAAGGAUAUGAUGAAACCUUCCAGUCAAACACAUUAUAAAGCCAGCAAGAAGAGGCAGCAUGAGGAACCAGAGAGCUUCUGUACCUGGUUUACUGACCAUUCUGAUGCAGGUGCAGAUGAAUUAGGAGAGGCCAUCAAAGAUGAUACUUGGCCAAACCCAUUACAGUACUACUUGGUUCUUGAUAUGGAUGAUAAAGAAGGAGAAGAAGAUGAUGAUGAUGAAGAAGAAGGAGGUUUGGAAGAUAUUGAUGAAGAAGGGGAUGAGGAUGGAGGUGAAGAAGAUGAAGAUGAUGAUGGGGGGAAGGAGAGGAGGAUGAAGGAGAUGACUAACUGAUGGAUUCCAACCUUUUUAAAAAU
Molecule: RNA transcript, 1046 nt
Organism: Nycticebus coucang (slow loris)
Lineage: Eukaryota; Metazoa; Chordata; Mammalia; Primates; Lorisidae
Gene name: protein SET-like
Exons: 3
Source: RefSeq, a predicted model, not a curated record